Long non-coding RNA from Dioscorea cayenensis subsp. rotundata (Guinea yam), 418 nucleotides. RefSeq lists it as uncharacterized. NCBI's taxonomy places the organism in Eukaryota, Viridiplantae, Streptophyta, Magnoliopsida, Dioscoreales, Dioscoreaceae. The transcript is spliced from 4 exons. The record is from RefSeq and is a predicted model, not a curated record.
AGGAGAGAAGGAAACAUCCGAGCAGAAAACCUAAGGACCGAGUUCAAGGUGUUUGUAAUGGCUCAGGAAUGGAACUCAGUUGCCAAAUCAUAAGAUAUUGGAAACGGUACUUGAUAAGCUUCAGAAUUGUUUGUGUGUUGUGGCAGGAAGGACACUUAUGGAGUUUUUGCAGAGCUUGUUGAUCAGGAAGAGCUCCUUGAUUAUCAUGAUGUUAUUGAGCAUCCAAUGGUUUUUGGACAGUAAGGAAGAAGCUUGCCUUAUAACUCAUAGCUCCCCACCCUGGGAUUGAGGAAUUGCUUUACAGUCCAGUAGAAAACUCACUGCACAAGUGAGCAAGAAAACUAUUAUUAAUUCAUCGGAUGUUUUGUUAUUCAUUUCAUUCAACUUCUACCUAUUUUGUUAAAUUGUGUUCUUAAAG